AUGGAUAUUUAUGAUCCAAGCAAUUUCGGUAGUCUUGAUAACAAAGCGAGGGACAUAUUAGUGGAAAAGAGGCCUAAAAGGGACGAAAACACUAAAUAUCCGUUAGAUGAAACUUCACAACAUUUUUCGUAUAGCCAUUACUCAAGAAAAAUGAGCAAUGGAGAGAUGUGUGAUAGGAGAUGUAAAUGCAAGAUUGCAUUGGGGCAUUAUGAGUUUUGUGAUUGGCGGCAUAUUAGUGAGAGACUCAUCAAACAUGAAGCUAGUGUCGACCACAUUACCAACAUUAAAUCUUGGAAUGAACUGAAAAUUAGACUGACCAAACAUGAAACAAUUGACGAAGAAGUGUUACAACAACAAAUCACAAAGAUGAAGGAACUCAUAAGGCAAGUUUUAUUAAGAAUAGUUGCCAUUGUGAAAUUUCUUGGUAAAUGCAAUUUGGAUUUUAGAGGAUCAAGUGAGCAACUUUAUGAUGAUUCCAAUGGCAAUUUCUUAUCUUGUGUGGAGAUGGUUGCAGAAUUUUGAUUUGGUAAUGCAAGAUCAUCUUAUGCGUAUUCAAAAAAAGAUAUCCAUUACCAUUAUCUUAGCCAUAUUAGUAGGGAUGAGUUGAUUUCUCUUAGGGCUGCUGACGUUAGAAAUUCUAUCAUCAAGAUUGUCAAAGUGGCCAAAUAUUUCACUGUUAUCCUAGAUUGUACCCCGGAUGUGAGUCAUCAAAAACAAUAUGAGUUUGUUGGUUCGAUGUGUUCAUAUGUCUGA
This 753-nucleotide ribosomal RNA is filed under the name Triticum aestivum (bread wheat). Its description in RNAcentral is "partial small subunit ribosomal RNA". Lineage: Eukaryota; Viridiplantae; Streptophyta; Magnoliopsida; Poales; Poaceae. The record is from RNAcentral.